RNAcentral lists this unclassified non-coding RNA (314 nucleotides) under plant metagenome. RNAcentral's name for it is "partial contains 5.8S ribosomal RNA, internal transcribed spacer 2, and large subunit ribosomal RNA". The stretch from base 1 to 105 matches the Rfam family "5.8S ribosomal RNA", at positions 50 to 154 of the family's 154-position model. The record is from RNAcentral.
GAAAUGCGAUAAUUAAUGUGAAUUGCAGAAUUCAGUGAAUCAUCGAGUCUUUGAACGCACAUUGCGCCCCCUGGUAUUCCAGGGGGCAUGCCUGUCCGAGCGUCAUUGCUGCCCUCAAGCACGGCUUGUGUGUUGGGCUUCCGUCCCUGGCAACGGGGACGGGCCCAAAAGGCAGUGGCGGCACCAUGUCUGGUCCUCGAGCGUAUGGGGCUUUGUCACCCGCUCCCGUAGGUCCAGCUGGCAGCUAGCCUCGCAACCAAUCUUUUUAACCAGGUUGACCUCGGAUCAGGUAGGGAUACCCGCUGAACUUAAGC